UACGGAGGGUGCAAGCGUUGUCCGGAUUUAUUGGGUUUAAAGGGUGCGUAGGUGGCCUUGUAAGUCCGUGGUGAAAGCCUGCUGCUCAACAGCAGAACUGCCAUGGAUACUGCAGGGCUUGAGUCCAGACGAGGUUGGCGGAAUAGAAGGUGUAGCGGUGAAAUGCAUAGAUACCUUCUAGAACCCCGAUUGCGUAGGCAGCUGACUAGGCUGGUACUGACACUGAGGCACGAAAGCGUGGGGAGCGAACAGG
This 253-nucleotide ribosomal RNA is filed under the name uncultured prokaryote. RNAcentral's name for it is "partial 16S ribosomal RNA". It matches the Rfam family "Bacterial small subunit ribosomal RNA", at positions 524 to 776 of the family's 1533-position model. The record is from RNAcentral.